RNAcentral lists this ribosomal RNA (484 nucleotides) under uncultured bacterium. RNAcentral describes it as "partial 16S ribosomal RNA". It matches the Rfam family "Bacterial small subunit ribosomal RNA", at positions 30 to 507 of the family's 1533-position model. The record is from RNAcentral.
AUUGAACGCUGGCGGCAGGCCUAACACAUGCAAGUCGAGCGGAUGAAGGGAGCUUGCUCCUGGAUUCAGCGGCGGACGGGUGAGUAAUGCCUAGGAAUCUGCCUGGUAGUGGGGGAUAACGUCCGGAAACGGGCGCUAAUACCGCAUACGUCCUGAGGGAGAAAGUGGGGGAUCUUCGGACCUCACGCUAUCAGGUGAGCCUAGGUCGGAUUAGCUAGUUGGUGGGGUAAAGGCCUACCAAGGCGACGAUCCGUAACUGGUCUGAGAGGAUGAUCAGUCACACUGGAACUGAGACACGGUCCAGACUCCUACGGGAGGCAGCAGUGGGGAAUGUUGGACAAUGGGCGAAAGCCUGAUCCAGCCAUGCCGCGUGUGUGAAGAAGGUCUUCGGAUUGUAAAGCACUUUAAGUUGGGAGGAAGGGCAGUAAGUUAAUACCUUGCUGUUUUGACGUUACCAACAGAAUAAGCACCGGCUAACUUCGUG